GACGAACGCUGGCGGCGUGCUUAACACAUGCAAGUCGAGCGGUAAGGCCCUUUCGGGGGUACACGAGCGGCGAACGGGUGAGUAACACGUGGGUGACCUGCCCUCAGCUCUGGGAUAAGCCUGGGAAACUGGGUCUAAUACCGGAUAUGACUCCAUGACGCAUGUUGUGGGGUGGAAAGCCUUGUGCGGCUAGGGAUGGGCCCGCGGCCUAUCAGCUUGUUGGUGGGGUGAUGGCCACCAAGGCGACGACGGGUAGCCGGCCUGAGAGGGCGACCGGCCACACUGGGACUGAGACACGGCCCAGACUCCUACGGGAGGCAGCAGUGGGGAAUCUUGCGCAAUGGGC
Molecule: ribosomal RNA, 346 nt
Filed under: uncultured bacterium
Lineage: Bacteria
Description: bacterial SSU rRNA
Rfam family: Bacterial small subunit ribosomal RNA
Source: RNAcentral